This 29-nucleotide non-coding RNA is filed under the name Mus musculus (house mouse). The record is from RNAcentral. Lineage: Eukaryota; Metazoa; Chordata; Mammalia; Rodentia; Muridae.
UGAAUUGGAGAUAUGCAAAUAAGCCUUAC